Molecule: long non-coding RNA, 1267 nt
Filed under: Gossypium barbadense (sea-island cotton)
Lineage: Eukaryota; Viridiplantae; Streptophyta; Magnoliopsida; Malvales; Malvaceae
Description: long non-coding RNA (GBAR_LNC019734)
Source: RNAcentral
CCGGGCAAAAUUCAGUGAUUACAAUGAAAAUAGCUUAUACACAUUAAACUUUACAUCAUUAUUAAGCCAAAUCUCAUGGCUAAAUACAUAUCAAACACAUAUGCAUAAAUAGCCAAAGGUCACUUAUACACUUCAUAAACCAACUAGCCUAUACAUGCCACAUAACCAAAAUCACAAAGCUUUUGAAAUAUCGAAAUGAUAGCUGGAUAGUGUGAUGAAAUCUCUGACGAAUUCCAACCUGAGCAAGCCUCCGAAACACUACAAACAUAUGAAAGAAAACAAAGUAAGCUAUACAGCUUAGUAAGCUCGUAUGAUAAUAUACUAAACUUAUCAAAUAACACAUAUUAAGUAUUUACAAAUUUCAAUGUUACUCAUUUGCUUUCACCGUUAUACCAUGAAUCCAUACCAUAGCUAACCAAGGGUCUCACAAGCUUAUUCAUUUCCAUGUUCAUAUAGAUCUAAUAUAUUCUCACCAAUUCAUUCACAUUUACAUAUGCAUAAGCACUUUAAGAUAUCCCACAUUCAAUCCAAUAUUCAUUACAUAUUCAUAAUCAAUAUAACCAUAUGGAUUUUUCAUAAUUAUCCACUUAGUCAUCAUGUGAAAUUUGAUACCCCUCAAUAAGCAUUUAUAUAAAUCAAACACUUACAUAAACUCAAACCUUUCAAUGUAAUAUACACGAGCUCACAUCUAUUUAUCAAUCUUCUUUCAUUCAAUAUACGUAUAAGUAUCGUACGUACCUGUACCACUUAUUUUGUUUACACUUUUAUUCUUGUCUUGACUUUGCCUGUUGAACCAUUCAGAAUCACUAAGGAUACUCAGAAAUCUCAUAUAACUCGUACAAUGUCAUAUCCCAGAUAUGGUCUUACAUGCUAUCGUAUAUCGAUGCCAAAAGCCAGCUAUGGUCUUACACGAAUCUCAUAUCGAUACCAAUGUCUCAAACAUAGUCUUACACUAAUCUUAUACAGAUGCCAAUGUUCUAGACAUGGUCUUACACGAAUCUCAUAACGAUGCCAAUGUCCAAGGCAUGGUCUUACACGUAAUCACAUCUCAGUAUCCUAAGCUAUUCCUAAUGUUCGUACAAGACUUUUGGACGUCGUAACUUUGUCGAUUCAUGCUUAUACUCAUCCAAUAAAAAUUCAAUUCAAUUCAAUGAUAAAUUAACAUUUAGAACACAAUUUAAGAACAUUAUAUAACAUACAAACUUACCUUGUUCGUUGAAACGUCGAAUUAGGUCGACUAAUCCAAUAUGUAGUUUUUCUCCUGUUU